GGGUUGUGAGGUUAAGCGACUAAGCGUACACGGUGGAUGCCCUGGCAGUCAGAGGCGAUGAAGGACGUGCUAAUCUGCGAUAAGCGUCGGUAAGGUGAUAUGAACCGUUAUAACCGGCGAUUUCCGAAUGGGGAAACCCAGUGUGAUUCGUCACACUAUCAUUAACUGAAUCCAUAGGUUAAUGAGGCGAACCGGGGGAACUGAAACAUCUAAGUACCCCGAGGAAAAGAAAUCAACCGAGAUUCCCCCAGUAGCGGCGAGCGAACGGGGAGCAGCCCAGAGCCUGAAUCAGUGUGUGUGUUAGUGGAAGCGUCUGGAAAGGCGCGCGAUACAGGGUGACAGCCCCGUACACAAAAAUGCACAUACUGUGAGCUCGAUGAGUAGGGCGGGACACGUGGUAUCCUGUCUGAAUAUGGGGGGACCAUCCUCCAAGGCUAAAUACUCCUGACUGACCGAUAGUGAACCAGUACCGUGAGGGAAAGGCGAAAAGAACCCCGGCGAGGGGAGUGAAAAAGAACCUGAAACCGUGUACGUACAAGCAGUGGGAGCCUCUUUAUGGGGUGACUGCGUACCUUUUGUAUAAUGGGUCAGCGACUUAUAUUCUGUAGCAAGGUUAACCGAAUAGGGGAGCCGAAGGGAAACCGAGUCUUAACUGGGCGUUAAGUUGCAGGGUAUAGACCCGAAACCCGGUGAUCUAGCCAUGGGCAGGUUGAAGGUUGGGUAACACUAACUGGAGGACCGAACCGACUAAUGUUGAAAAAUUAGCGGAUGACUUGUGGCUGGGGGUGAAAGGCCAAUCAAACCGGGAGAUAGCUGGUUCUCCCCGAAAGCUAUUUAGGUAGCGCCUCGUGAAUUCAUCUCCGGGGGUAGAGCACUGUUUCGGCAAGGGGGUCAUCCCGACUUACCAACCCGAUGCAAACUGCGAAUACCGGAGAAUGUUAUCACGGGAGACACACGGCGGGUGCUAACGUCCGUCGUGAAGAGGGAAACAACCCAGACCGCCAGCUAAGGUCCCAAAGUCAUGGUUAAGUGGGAAACGAUGUGGGAAGGCCCAGACAGCCAGGAUGUUGGCUUAGAAGCAGCCAUCAUUUAAAGAAAGCGUAAUAGCUCACUGGUCGAGUCGGCCUGCGCGGAAGAUGUAACGGGGCUAAACCAUGCACCGAAGCUGCGGCAGCGACACUAUGUGUUGUUGGGUAGGGGAGCGUUCUGUAAGCCUGUGAAGGUGUGCUGUGAGGUAUGCUGGAGGUAUCAGAAGUGCGAAUGCUGACAUAAGUAACGAUAAAGCGGGUGAAAAGCCCGCUCGCCGGAAGACCAAGGGUUCCUGUCCAACGUUAAUCGGGGCAGGGUGAGUCGACCCCUAAGGCGAGGCCGAAAGGCGUAGUCGAUGGGAAACAGGUUAAUAUUCCUGUACUUGGUGUUACUGCGAAGGGGGGACGGAGAAGGCUAUGUUGGCCGGGCGACGGUUGUCCCGGUUUAAGCGUGUAGGCUGGUUUUCCAGGCAAAUCCGGAAAAUCAAGGCUGAGGCGUGAUGACGAGGCACUACGGUGCUGAAGCAACAAAUGCCCUGCUUCCAGGAAAAGCCUCUAAGCAUCAGGUAACAUCAAAUCGUACCCCAAACCGACACAGGUGGUCAGGUAGAGAAUACCAAGGCGCUUGAGAGAACUCGGGUGAAGGAACUAGGCAAAAUGGUGCCGUAACUUCGGGAGAAGGCACGCUGAUAUGUAGGUGAAGUCCCUUGCGGAUGGAGCUGAAAUCAGUCGAAGAUACCAGCUGGCUGCAACUGUUUAUUAAAAACACAGCACUGUGCAAACACGAAAGUGGACGUAUACGGUGUGACGCCUGCCCGGUGCCGGAAGGUUAAUUGAUGGGGUUAGCGGUAACGCGAAGCUCUUGAUCGAAGCCCCGGUAAACGGCGGCCGUAACUAUAACGGUCCUAAGGUAGCGAAAUUCCUUGUCGGGUAAGUUCCGACCUGCACGAAUGGCGUAAUGAUGGCCAGGCUGUCUCCACCCGAGACUCAGUGAAAUUGAACUCGCUGUGAAGAUGCAGUGUACCCGCGGCAAGACGGAAAGACCCCGUGAACCUUUACUAUAGCUUGACACUGAACAUUGAGCCUUGAUGUGUAGGAUAGGUGGGAGGCUUUGAAGUGUGGACGCCAGUCUGCAUGGAGCCGACCUUGAAAUACCACCCUUUAAUGUUUGAUGUUCUAACGUUGGCCCCUGAUCGGGGUUGCGGACAGUGUCUGGUGGGUAGUUUGACUGGGGCGGUCUCCUCCUAAAGAGUAACGGAGGAGCACGAAGGUUGGCUAAUCCUGGUCGGACAUCAGGAGGUUAGUGCAAUGGCAUAAGCCAGCUUGACUGCGAGCGUGACGGCGCGAGCAGGUGCGAAAGCAGGUCAUAGUGAUCCGGUGGUUCUGAAUGGAAGGGCCAUCGCUCAACGGAUAAAAGGUACUCCGGGGAUAACAGGCUGAUACCGCCCAAGAGUUCAUAUCGACGGCGGUGUUUGGCACCUCGAUGUCGGCUCAUCACAUCCUGGGGCUGAAGUAGGUCCCAAGGGUAUGGCUGUUCGCCAUUUAAAGUGGUACGCGAGCUGGGUUUAGAACGUCGUGAGACAGUUCGGUCCCUAUCUGCCGUGGGCGCUGGAGAACUGAGGGGGGCUGCUCCUAGUACGAGAGGACCGGAGUGGACGCAUCACUGGUGUUCGGGUUGUCAUGCCAAUGGCACUGCCCGGUAGCUAAAUGCGGAAGAGAUAAGUGCUGAAAGCAUCUAAGCACGAAACUUGCCCCGAGAUGAGUUCUCCCUGACCCUUUAAGGGUCCUGAAGGAACGUUGAAGACGACGACGUUGAUAGGCCGGGUGUGUAAGCGCAGCGAUGCGUUGAGCUAACCGGUACUAAUGAACCGUGAGGCUUAACCUUACAACGCCGAAG
Molecule: ribosomal RNA, 2925 nt
Filed under: Shigella boydii
Lineage: Bacteria; Pseudomonadati; Pseudomonadota; Gammaproteobacteria; Enterobacterales; Enterobacteriaceae
Also listed under: 1 other name
Description: bacterial LSU rRNA
Rfam family: Bacterial large subunit ribosomal RNA
Source: RNAcentral